GGAAUCUGCCUGUCUCCAUCUCCACAAGGCUGGGGGCACGGAAAUGGAGAGUGAUGCACAGGCUUCUCUUCAUCUCCAAUAAUAACAAGCUAAGUAAAUUGGCAAGAAGCCCUCAUCUGCUUCGGUGAGUCAUACUUUGUAUUUCCUGAGUCCUCACUAGAUGACUUGCUCCCCCACCCCCACCCCCACCCCUGCCACCAUGGCCCUCGGAAAGGUAGCUGCACUGGCUAGUUUCAUGUUAACUUGACACAGGCUGGAGUCAUGUGAGAGGAGCGAGCGUCCCAUUGAGAAAACGCCUCCAUAUGAUCAGGUUGUAGGCAGGUAUGUAGGGCAUUCUCUUAAUUACAGAUGGAUGGGGAAGGGCCCGAUCUACUCGGGGUGGUGACACCCCUGGGCUGGUGGUCCUGGGCUCUAUAGAAAAAAAGAAGUCUGAGCAAGCCAUAGGGAGCAAGCCAGUCAGGAGCAUCCCUCCAUGGCCUCCAAGUCAGCUCCUGCCUCCAGAAUGCCGCCCUACCUGCUUUUGACAUUGGACUCCUACAGGGAACUGUGAGUGAAAGAGACCCCUUCCUUCCCACGAUACUUCUUUCUGGUCAUAGAAUUUCAGCAGAGCGACAGUCGCCCGAAGACAGUAGCAAUUAUGUUUGACCGAGAUGUAAUUCACUAGGAUACAAUUCUCCCUUUUAAAGUUUGUACCUUUGAGUAUGUCACAGAGCAGCAGAGCCUCACUGUGUGAGAAACCUCAUUACCUGAGAAAGCAGCCACCGCCUCUCUCACCGCACCAGGAGAUCCUUUCUUUCUGUAGGGUUACCAAUGCUAUAGACGCUUCACAUACAUGGACAAAUAUAUGUUCUUUGUACCUGA
Long non-coding RNA from Mastomys coucha (southern multimammate mouse), 861 nucleotides. RefSeq lists it as uncharacterized. NCBI's taxonomy places the organism in Eukaryota, Metazoa, Chordata, Mammalia, Rodentia, Muridae. The transcript is spliced from 2 exons. The record is from RefSeq and is a predicted model, not a curated record.